AUGCCGUGCAUACCGUGGUCAGUCGCCAUCCGGUUCCAUCCCAUGUUACCGCUGGGGAUGUCGCGGUUUAUUGCCGCCGGGGCCGGCCGGUCGGCGGUUGCCCUUCGCCGGCCGUACACGAGCCGUCCGGUGUCCGCGUCGCCAUUGACGCCGCUGCCUCUCCAGCGAUGGCAUGUCCGUUUCUUCACUUACUCUGCGCGGUACGAGUGUCAUUGGGAGCGCGCUGGCCAUCUAACCGACCUCACCCGAUCACUUCGCCUCGACGAUAGGUCGAACCGAAGCGCAUUUCUGGUGCGUGCGAGGUUAACAAAAAUGAAGUAUGAUACAGGUAGGUAUAACCAGCAGCACACUACGCCCUACCACCGUCGCUCUCGCGCGCGGCCGCCGGGUCCAGGUCAUGUGCCGGCAUACAGAUCAGCCGUCGCCCUCGCCGCUGCAUGCCCCUACUUGGCGCCUUCUCCUGCAUUUCCAUGCAAUCAAUCAGCACGUCGUUCGUCCCACCUCCCACAGUCCCACGUCCAACACACACGCGAUGAUCGAAAAACGGCAAACUACAAAUACCAUUAUACACCUAUCCUUCACAUGAUUACCAUGUACUACGUACAGUGCAGAUAUCCAAAUCGACGUCUUCAAUUAGUUAAGGAAGGAGGGAAUAUCCAGCUCCGCAGCGCGGGAUCAUGCGCGUCAUCCUCGCUAGUCCCACCAGCCACGAUGCCACGACCGAACGUUUGGCUUAGAAAACUGCAUGCAUCCACGCGCACCACAGCUGUGUUGCCAAGGCAUGCGUCGCCGGGAGUAGACAUCAAUGGUUUUCCCCAUGCCGGCCGAGAUCUUCGGUCUCUCGGUACCGUACUGCGCAACCCGAAGAUUAUUCGAGCUCUGAUGAGAUGUAUAUUGUUCAGCGUCAGAGUUCCAGAUGCGAUCGCGGGCUGGCUGCUUGCACCUUCGAAGAAACUGGGAUGGAAAUAA
RNAcentral lists this ribosomal RNA (969 nucleotides) under Triticum aestivum (bread wheat). Its description in RNAcentral is "partial small subunit ribosomal RNA". Lineage: Eukaryota; Viridiplantae; Streptophyta; Magnoliopsida; Poales; Poaceae. The record is from RNAcentral.